This 213-nucleotide ribosomal RNA is filed under the name uncultured bacterium. RNAcentral's name for it is "partial 16S ribosomal RNA". It matches the Rfam family "Bacterial small subunit ribosomal RNA", at positions 28 to 232 of the family's 1533-position model. The record is from RNAcentral.
GACGAACGCUGGCGGCGUGCUUAACACAUGCAAGUCGAGCGGUAAGGCCCUUUCGGGGGUACGACGAGCGGCGAACGGGUAGGAGUAACACGUGGGUGGACCUCGCCCUCCAGCUCUGGGAGUAAGCCUGGGAAACGUAGGGUCGUAAUACUGGAUAUGACUCCACGGUGCAUGUCGUGGGGUGGAAAGCCUUGUGCGGCUGAGGAUGGGCCC